RNAcentral lists this ribosomal RNA (469 nucleotides) under uncultured bacterium. RNAcentral's name for it is "bacterial SSU rRNA". It matches the Rfam family "Bacterial small subunit ribosomal RNA", at positions 28 to 507 of the family's 1533-position model. The record is from RNAcentral.
GAUGAACGCUAGCUACAGGCUUAACACAUGCAAGUCGAGGGGCAGCACAGUGUAGCAAUACACGGGUGGCGACCGGCGCACGGGUGCGUAACGCGUAUCCAACCUUCCCGUUACUCAGGGAUAGCCUUCCGAAAGGGAGAUUAAUACCUGAUGGUAUUCAAAUUUCGCAUGUUAUUUGAAUUAAAGAUUUAUCGGCAAAGGAUGGGCCUGCGUCUGAUUAGCUAGUUGGUGGGGUAACGGCCUACCAAGGCGACGAUCAGUAGCCGACCUGAGAGGGUGAUCGGCCACAUUGGAACUGAGACACGGUCCAAACUCCUACGGGAGGCAGCAGUGGGGAAUAUUGGGCAAUGGGGGAAACCCUGACCCAGCAACGCCGCGUGAAGGAAGAAGGCCUUCGGGUUGUAAACUUCUUUUAGCAGGGACGAAGAACGUGACGGUACCUGCAGAAAAAGCAACGGCUAACUACGUG